AGUGUCUCUGCCUGACCGCCACCCCAUCUGGGAGCUGAAUAAUCUGGAGAUGGUGCUGGCAAAAGUCAGUAGAGACAGAGAGAGCUCAAAGCUCCCAGGAGCAUCCUGAUUCUGGCAGAAGCAGGAGCAGAGAGUUUAGAAUCAUGAGAUCAUCAUAAACCCCCUUCUUGGAAGAUCUCAGGACCUCAGACCACAGAAAUUACCCUCCACUUCAGUUUUGCCAUCCAUCAUACUAAGGCAGAAACACAUCUCACCUUCCUGCUACUCAAGAAUUGGCAAAUAAAGGCAAAAUCUCGCCCCUCUCUGAGAUUCUCAAAGAACAGUGUUUGACUCUGUUCAGUGGGGUUUUCCAGGGCCAAAAAUGCCUGUGGGAUUGAUUUUGGAGUCCCAGCAACCCUCAUCUCUUAGUCCUUAUAUUGCAUGCAGGUCCACAGGAAGAGAGGGUUGGCACUCAAAGGAUCACAGUUUCUAUCCCACGUCAUCACUCUUACUGACCACUCUGGCUCUGGGGAUGCUGCAUCUCUCUGAAAUCCACCCAGUUGCGGGAAAUACUGAGAGUUUAGGCCUACUUCCCAUUAUCUGAAUAAAAUAGAUAACAUCGUUUUUUCUUUUCCAAGAAAAUGGAAAUCAAGCCCACUGUUUUGUGUUAUCAGUUUAACCGCUGAGUUGAGGUGUCACCAGCAAGUACUGAGCUUUAACUGUUUCCAAAUGGGGCUUCUGAGAGGCACUGAGUUGGCAUCUACCAAGGACUUGGUCUACACAUAGAGGGAAGACAGAGACCAGGAAACACUCAUCUUUCUGCAAUUCAACUCUGGGCUCCAUCUUGAAGGAAAUGAAUGCAUGAAGAACAUUCUUAACCUAGUAUGUCUACGGCCAUACCACCCUAGGCGUGCCCAAUCUCGUCUGAACCCAGUACGUGACAUGCCCUAUGCUGAUGCUUUCAUAUGCGUUACCUUAUUUAAUCCUCAUGACUUCCACAUUAAUAAUAAUUACCUAUGAUGUGAGAGGGUCAUUAUACCAAUUUUAUGAAGAAAAUAUGGCUCAAAGAAAUAAUUUUUAAGUAGCAACACCAACAUUUGGAAUCUUCUUGAAACUUCUAACUCCUAGAAGACCACCAUGCUGUAUUUUUGGUCUACAAAUUUAAAUGGAAUAGUAUCUAAUGUUGGGGAAAACGGGAGGAAUGAAGGGUGACUGCUAAAGAGUACAGGAUUUCUUUUAGUGGUGAUGAAAAUGUUCUAAAAUUGACAGUGAUGACCAUUGCUCAACUCCAUGAGGACUCUAAAAUUCAUUGAAUUGUAUAUUUUAAAUGGGUGAAUUGUAUGGCAUGUGAGUUAUAACCACACAGAGCUGUUACAAAUAAGUAAUAUUUAAUGGAGGCCUCUUCCCACCCUACUCUACAACAGUCACAAAAACCUCUCAAUUUUCCCAUAUAUCCUGAAGUAGAAGGGCUUGCCUUUUAUCUCUUUGUAAUUUUAUGUAGUGGACAAUAAACAAAUGGCUGAUUGUAAUGAUGAAAAAGAUCCAAAUUUCUCCAGUAAAGUUGGGGGAGAAAUGCCCAGUUACAAGCAGCUGAAUGGAGGUCAGAGAGAACCAUAAUCCCAGAUAAAAAAUAAGCAGGCAAAAUUUUCUGUAGCACAAUCCCUCUCUCAUUUCAAGAAUCUGCCCACACGCUCCUCACACCUCCUCCUCUCCUGUCACUACCACCAUGAUCUUGUGGUUACACAAUUUCAUUCAGAGUCAAAAUUAGAAAUUAACUAAAGAAGCUAUGGUAUGGUAUUUUAUUCUAAGAUGUCAUCUCUUUUCAAAUGAAUCAUCAAUUUAAUAACAGUUUUCCAAGUGUUAAAAAUGUGGGGUAAAAAUGCAUUUUAGAAUCAAAGAAAUGUACUAAUCCCUAUGAAGAUGGUAAUCCAAUUAAAGUGUAAUUUCUCCAUAUUUGAAGACA
Homo sapiens (human) is the source of this 1942-nucleotide long non-coding RNA. RefSeq lists it as uncharacterized. NCBI's taxonomy places the organism in Eukaryota, Metazoa, Chordata, Mammalia, Primates, Hominidae. The transcript has 2 exons. The record is from RefSeq and is a predicted model, not a curated record.